Molecule: non-coding RNA, 2731 nt
Organism: Podarcis lilfordi (Lilford's wall lizard)
Lineage: Eukaryota; Metazoa; Chordata; Lepidosauria; Squamata; Lacertidae
Source: the annotation of a GenBank genome assembly
CAGAACCACAAAAUGGUGGCAUGGUGACCAGCCCCACUCCCACCAGCCAGUGAUGUAGAAGCCCAAUACAUUUCAGCGCUUGAGGCAAACCACAAAAUGGUGCCUCCGCUGCCAGAAAAGGAGGCGGGGAGGUGAGUGAGGAUCUAUAUCAGAAACAAGCGGGGAAUAAAGAUCUACAUCAGGAACAAAGUGGGAAUCUUUACCCAACAGCUGAAGAGGGAAUCAAAGGCUGGCACUGGGAGUGGGGGGUGGGGUGUUACUCUCAAUCAUGCUGGGAAGGUGCAGAGUCCAGGAGACCCCAUAGGACAGCCCCUGCUAUUUCCUCCCUAGGGUGAGAGGAGACCAGCAGCACCAAGAAGUGGGCUGAAGCCAUCACUGCUACUGUGGCAGCGGCAGCAGCAGCAGUAGCAGGCAGGGGUUUUCUGAGGCAGGGGCAGAGGGGCAGUCCACCCUGGGUGCCAUUCCAAAGGAGGGGUGGAAAAAAAGGCUGACCCCCGAUCGGCGGCACCUUCCAGGGUGCUCGCCACACUCCCCGGGAUGCACGCCACACCCCCUCAGACGCGUGCCGCUCCAGGUACUGGAGCAGGUUGCUUCGCCUCUGGCAGCAGGCAAUGCAUUCCUUGGAGGAUGUAUUUGGUUUGAGUCCAGGCUGGCAGAUGUCUUCCUCUGCCUUUUGCCUCCCAAGUAGCAAAGACAGCAUAGCUAGCCAAAAGUCGAUGCUGCAGAUCCUCCAUCCAGUGGGGCGAGAUUCAAAUUCACAUAUGCAAGGAACCAUGGAUUAGCCACUCAUCGCCUUCGCCAUGCAAACCCCUGACCUGGGUAGGCUCAGACCACCUUAUUUCUGGUUAAGAGCCAGACAUGCUAACUGAUUGUGCCACAGAGAGCUGAGUGGUUCACCACCACCGCCACCAGCCUCCCUUGACCUGAAGUUUAUCUGCCAGAGCUGAAUAGAUGAAAAGCACCAGGCCAUUUUCCUGCCAUCCAGCAGAGUGGCGCAGCGGGAGCUUGCUGGGCCCAUAACCCAGAGGUCGAUGGAUCGAAACCAUCCUCUGUUAGGUGCCGAUGGCAUUUUGCAUUUCCGUUAGACCAGGGGUAGGCAACCUAAGGCCCGUGGGCCGGAUGCGGCCCAAUCACCUUCUCAAUUUGGCCCAUGGAUGGUCCGGAAAUCAGCAUGUUUUUACAUAAGUAGAAUGUGUUUAUUUAAAAUCAUCUCUGGGUUAUUUGUGGUGCCUGCCUGGUGUUUUUACAUGAGUAGAAUAUGUGCUUUUAUUUAAAAUGCAUUUCUGGGUUAUUUGUGGGGUAUAGGAAUUUGUUCAUCCCCCCCCCCCCCCGAAAUAUAGUCUGGCCCACCACAUGGUCUGAGGGACAGUGGACCGGCCCACAGCUGAAAAAGGUUGCUGACCCCUGCAUUAGACAGCACGCAAAAGAAAACGGAGAGAGGCAUUUGCUUCCUGCUACUGGCUGGAAUGCUUUGUGUUAAACAAUUCCAGAUUCUUCAGUUCUCUUCCAGCAACAGACUUAGAGCUAACUGCCUUCUCUCCAGACAGUGAUGGUUCUGUGGAAGGCGGCCAGCAGAGAAGUCUUUUCCUUCAAGAGGCCAAGUCCUCAGUCUCUGCCAUGCCUCACUGGAGCAACUCCAUGCAGUAUCUUUGCGACAGAAUGAAAAGACCCCCAUUUAGUGUGCCAAUGGUAUAGAGGCAUUUUGUGAGGUUGCCAAUCUUGUAGAACCUGUCUUCAAGUUCUACACUUUAUUCUGACUCUUACCUUUUCCAGGAGUCAAGACAGCAGAACUAAGUAAAAGUUUCCAUCCUGAAAUCCUGCAUCCCAAGGGGAAAAGGGCCGACGAGGGUGGGAUUCGAACCCACGUGUGCAGAGCACAAUGGAUUAGCAGUCCAUCGCCUUCACCACUCGGCCACCUCGUCUAUGAAUCCUGCCCGCAGCCGUCCCUGGGUGGGCUCGAACCACCAUCCUUCUGGUUAACAGCCAGACGUGCUAACCCAUUGCGCCACAGAGACCUGGGCAGCUUUCCUCCUUUCAUCUGAGGUUUUGUGGAUGGAGGUGUUCAUAAGACAGGCGAGCAGAGCUGGGAAAUGACACUGAGCCAUCUGAAAUAGCCUCCCACCACCAGCAGGUGCUUUUAACUUGUCAGUGAGAAAUGAUGAGCCAGUACUGCUUCAUAACAUCCAUCUCUUCCCUAUUUUCCAGGGAUGUCCCUGAUUUAGAGAAUGUCCUGGUUUUCCUUGGGAUGUUCCUAUUUUCACUGGAGAAAUGUUGGAGGGUAUGGAGUUAUCCAACCCCAGAACCAUCUAAAGGCAAUCCUGUAUAGAGAAGUUAAAAAGUUUUAUGUUUUAUUAUGUUUUUAUUUUUGUUGGAAGCUGCCCAGACUGGCUGGGGCAACUCAGUCACAUCUGUGGGGUAUAAAUAGUAAAAUAGUCCUCUAUCGUCCCCAUCUCCUUGUGCCCUCCAUCUUUCCCAACAUCAGGGUCUUUUCCAGGGAGUCUUCUCUUCUCAUGAGCUGGCCAAAGUAUUGGAGCCUCAGCUUCAGGAUCUGUCCUUCCAGUGGGCACUCAGGGCUGAUUUCCUUAAGAAUGGAUAGGUUUGAUCUCCUUGCAGUCCAUGGGACUCUCAAGAGUCUCCUCCAGCACCAUAUUUCAAAAGCAUCAAUUCUUCGGUGAUCAGCCUUCUUUAUGGUCCAGCUCUCACUUCCAUACAUCACUACUGGGAAAACCAU